Molecule: non-coding RNA, 1977 nt
Organism: Meleagris gallopavo (turkey)
Lineage: Eukaryota; Metazoa; Chordata; Aves; Galliformes; Phasianidae
Source: RefSeq, a predicted model, not a curated record
AAGAAUCAGUGAGAAAAAGAAGAGGCAAAUCACUGGUAUGCACAUAGCUGCCUCUGCGGCGCUGUGCUCCAGGCCACACAACUUUAUGAAAGCUGUUGGAAGACCAUGGAGAAUGUAUAGCAUGGCCAUUACAAACAUGAGAAGGCUGGAGGAAAUCCAUGUCAGAAAGGGCGUAGGACGGAAUCCAGUAUUGCAACUCCUGGAGAGCUACUAUGGUUCUGGCGUACAUCUUCAUUGCUGUGGGGGUAUGCUGGGUGUCAGGGGGCUCUUCAGUCCAGCUGAGGAGCACUGCAAUAGCUUAUAGGUGGGCAUUAAAUUCGGUAAAUGAAAAGGAGAGACCCACAUUAGAUGGAGAGGAUGAUUAAUCCACAGAUCAUGUUCCUGUGAGCACCAGAUGGUUUUCAAUUCCUGGUACUUGCAGCAUAUUCUGCCUCAAAACUAGUUUGCUCUAUUUAUCUGCCUCAGCUUUUCUUAUUUUGUCAGAUAAGCCAUUUUGUCAUGUUAUUGUCAUCACAUUAGGACAAAGGCCAGGAAAGCUGUAGAAACUCAUCAUUAAGUUCCUCCUAGACAUUCAGGCCCAGGAGGAGCUUGCAAGCAUCUCAAACAUCCUUCAACUCUGGCAUUCCAGAUCCUACUCAUGCAACACUUGGAGACAAGGCAGAGCAUUCCAUAGAACUGAGCACUGAAGUGGGGAGACAAGACUGUCUCAGAGUGAUUGAACACCAGGUGACAGUGGGGACUGGAGCACCUGCUGCUGUGCACCGCAGUGUCACCAUGGAGCCAAAGGCAGCACAGCAAUGACUUAAAAUCUCCAUCAGAAAUUUUAAAGUAAACAGGAGAAAGAACCAAAGACUCCGAUGGUGCCAGUGUAAGCAACCAGGAGACAUAGGGAGAUGAAAGUGAGGAAGAGGAAGAACAAGAAAUGGCAAUAAAUGUUUGUAAUAUUCACAUUAUUUGCUGGGCUUAGGGCAUGGUUUUGUUCUCAUUUUACCUCAGAGUGAAAAUCCCCAGCAGAUUUCUGACACUUCCACUACAAGUCCUCCUUGUCCAGAUCCUCCCAAACAUGGUUCUUACCAGGACCUUCCCUCAUUUGGCAGUAUCAUCACAAGCUAUCAGCAUCCACACAGUGUCCUUAGAGGGGUGAGCAGGAUGAGAGAAGAGGGCUCUGUUUAUUUACUUUUAUAUUUCAGCAGAAAAUGAAACAGAGUACCUCACUCAGAGGAGCUGGAAAUGAAACCUUGCCAGCUCAAAGUCCAGCCAGCAUGCUCAGUUUCACUCCCAAGCCCCCUAAUAAAUGUCCUUUCUUUUACAGUCCUGCUAAAUGAUGUGCUGCAAGCCAUGGGGCUUGCUAGGAGGCAUCUGUACCACAGCCAGCUGCUUUCAUUUCUGAGAAUUAGGUAACAUCAUCCAGUCCAAACAGUAGGGCUUUAACCCAGUCACAAAAUUUUUUGUGCUAUAAAAAGAUUAAAGCAGUGUCCCCCUGGUUUGAGCAGCUAACUCUUUCCAGGUGACUUCACCCUCUCUCUGCCUUUGGCUGAGCUGUCUGUCAUUUCCACGAGAUUUUGGCCUGCUCAGGCCUGUUUUUCCAUGAAAGCUGGCUGGACUGGGUUGCUGGCAUCCAGCUGCAGCUCUGGUGGGCUGUGGCAUUCAGGGAAGGGCCAAGCCAUGCUCAGAGCCCCACAACCCACAGAAACCAUCAGCCUCAGCCCCAUCACGUCAGGACACCCAUAGUGUGUGAGUUUUGCAAGUCCUAAUGCUUGCUCUGGUGCAUUAGGCCCUGUCAAGCAUGGAUAUGUGAUGGAGCUCUCCUCUCACCUCCACUGGUGUUCACUGAGCCUUGGCUUCCAAAAGAACACAGUCAGUGCUUGCCAGUGUGUGUGAAUUCAGCCAGCUGGUGAGUGUGAACACAAGUUCACUCUUCAGGAGCUUGCUGCUGGUGCUGGUAUAUUGUAAAGUAUGCCUGAUAGUCCAAACUGA